This 73-nucleotide transfer RNA is filed under the name Mucilaginibacter pankratovii. RNAcentral describes it as "Mucilaginibacter sp. ZT4R22 tRNA-Pro". It matches the Rfam family "tRNA". Rfam says of the family: Transfer RNA (tRNA) molecules are approximately 80 nucleotides in length. Their secondary structure includes four short double-helical elements and three loops (D, anti-codon, and T loops). The record is from RNAcentral. Lineage: Bacteria; Pseudomonadati; Bacteroidota; Sphingobacteriia; Sphingobacteriales; Sphingobacteriaceae.
AGGGUAGUAUAUCAAUUGGCAGAUUACUCGGUUUGGAACCGAGAGGCUCCCGGUUCAAGUCCGGGUUACCCUA